This 496-nucleotide ribosomal RNA is filed under the name uncultured bacterium. RNAcentral's name for it is "partial 16S ribosomal RNA". It matches the Rfam family "Bacterial small subunit ribosomal RNA", at positions 28 to 507 of the family's 1533-position model. The record is from RNAcentral.
GACGAACGCUGGCGGCGUGCCUAAUACAUGCAAGUAGAACGCUGAAGGAGGAGCUUGCUCUUCUUGGAUGAGUUGCGAACGGGUGAGUAACGCGUAGGUAACCUGCCUGGUAGCGGGGGAUAACUAUUGGAAACGAUAGCUAAUACCGCAUAAUAGUAGAUGUUGCAUGACAUUUGCUUAAAAGGUGCAAUUGCAUCACUACCAGAUGGACCUGCGUUGUAUUAGCUAGUUGGUGAGGUAACGGCUCACCAAGGCAACGAUACAUAGCCGACCUGAGAGGGUGAUCGGCCACACUGGGACUGAGACACGGCCCAGACUCCUACGGGAGGCAGCAGUAGGGAAUCUUCGGCAAUGGACGGAAGUCUGACCGAGCAACGCCGCGUGAGUGAAGAAGGUUUUCGGAUCGUAAAGCUCUGUUGUAAGAGAAGAACGAGUGUGAGAGUGGAAAGUUCACACUGUGACGGUAUCUUACCAGAAAGAGACGGCUAACUACGUG